Oncorhynchus keta (chum salmon) is the source of this 217-nucleotide long non-coding RNA. RefSeq lists it as uncharacterized. Lineage: Eukaryota; Metazoa; Chordata; Actinopteri; Salmoniformes; Salmonidae. The transcript has 3 exons. The record is from RefSeq and is a predicted model, not a curated record.
UGGAGGUGUGUCUAUAGAUACACUGUAUUAAUGGAGGUGUGUCUACUGAUACACUGUAUUAAUGGAGGUGUGUCUAUAGAUACACUGUAUUAAUGGAGGUGUGUCUACAGAUACACUGUAUUAAUGGAGGUGUGUCUAUAGAUACACUGUAUUAAUGGAGGUGUGUCUACAGAUACACUGUAUUAAUGGAGGUGUGUCUAUAGAUACACUGUAUUAA